ACCGAAGUUGUCGCCGCCGCCGCCACUGCCUGGGUCUCCGGCCGCCCGCGCGCUGGCUCGGUCGGGGCCCGCAGCCAUGGAGGAUUUCAUCGUGAUCUCGGACGACAGCGGCUCUGAGAGCUCCGGGGGCGCCCGCCCGGGCCGGUCGCGGAGGCUGCGCCGGGCCCUGUCGCGAACCUCCGGCGCGCUGCCCCGCCGGACCGUGUUCAAGAACAAGCAGGGAAGGCAGAGCAAGAUGGCUGAAUAGAACCCUCCAGCAUUUGUCCCCCAAGCAAGAACACCAACUUGAACAACUAUCCACACAAGAAAGCACUUUCAGAAGAACUAAAACUCAGGACUUCAUUGACUUAACUAGAGAGACCAGACCAAGGACAAAAGAUCGCAGUGGACUGUAUGUGAUUGACCUGACAAGAGCUGAGGGAGAAAAUAGACCUAUUGCCACUCUUGACUUAACUUUAGAACCUGUCACUCCUUCCCAGAA
Molecule: small RNA, 481 nt
Filed under: Pan troglodytes (chimpanzee)
Lineage: Eukaryota; Metazoa; Chordata; Mammalia; Primates; Hominidae
Description: processed transcript
Source: RNAcentral